RNAcentral lists this RNase P RNA (370 nucleotides) under Amylibacter sp. IMCC11727. RNAcentral describes it as "RNase P RNA component class A". It matches the Rfam family "Bacterial RNase P class A". Rfam says of the family: Ribonuclease P (RNase P) is a ubiquitous endoribonuclease, found in archaea, bacteria and eukarya as well as chloroplasts and mitochondria. Lineage: Bacteria; Pseudomonadati; Pseudomonadota; Alphaproteobacteria; Rhodobacterales; Paracoccaceae. The record is from RNAcentral.
GUGGAUGGCUGGACGGCCGCACUUGUAAGAGUGAGGAAAGUCCGGACUCCAAAGAACAACGGCGGCGGGUAACGCCCGCCCGGGGCAACCCGAGGGAAAGCGCCACAGAGAACAGACUGCCCGCGCGUGCGCAGGUAACGGUGAAACGGUGGGGUAAGAGCCCACCGCGGUGGUGGUAACAUCACUGGCAUGGCAAGCCCCGCUGGGAGCAAGACCAAAUAGGGAUCGCGUGGGCGCAAGCCCGAGGAUGUUCUUUCCUCAGCAGAUCCGGGUUGGUUGCAAGAGCCUGUUGGCAACAACAGGCCCAGAUGAAUGGUCGUCUAGGGGCGCAAGCCUUGGACAAAAUCCGGCUUACAGGUCAUCCACGCUU